UACCCUGUAGAUCCGGAUUUGU
This 22-nucleotide microRNA is filed under the name Danio rerio (zebrafish). RNAcentral describes it as "dre-miR-10c-5p". Its record names the gene dre-miR-10c-5p. The record is from miRBase by way of RNAcentral. RNAcentral also lists the same sequence under 12 other names. Lineage: Eukaryota; Metazoa; Chordata; Actinopteri; Cypriniformes; Danionidae.